Long non-coding RNA from Phyllopteryx taeniolatus (common seadragon), 1065 nucleotides. RefSeq lists it as uncharacterized. The record is from RefSeq and is a predicted model, not a curated record. The transcript is spliced from 3 exons. Lineage: Eukaryota; Metazoa; Chordata; Actinopteri; Syngnathiformes; Syngnathidae.
GCAAGGUCUAUUUAGUGGUUAAAGAGGAGUUUUGAAGGCAAAACAUAACAUCUAUCGAUACAUGAAUUUCUCAUAGAUAGACACCUUGUUACAUUUUUGAUGCAAUUAGGGAACUUACAAGGAAUAGGGGUUGAACACCUAUCCAUCGAUCCAUUUUCCAUACCGCUUAUCCUCACUAGGGUUGCCAGUGUGCUGGAGCCUAUCCCAGCUAUCAUCGGGCAGGAGGCGGGGUUACACCCUGAACUGGUCGCCAGCCAAUCACAGGGCACCUCUAAACAAACCACCAGUGGCACUCACAUUCACACCUACAGGCAAUUUAGAGUCUUCAAUUAUCCUAGCAUGCAUGUUUUUGGGAUGUGGGAGGAAACCGGAGUGCCCGGAGAAAACCCACGCAGGCACGGGGAGAACAUGCAAACUCCACACAGGCUAGGCCGGAUUUGAACCCUGGUCCUGUCAAUGUGUAAUGUGUGGGGAAACGGUGAAUGCUUUUUCUGCCAUGCGCUGGGUGAAAUUUCAUCAGUGUGCUGAUAAAAUUUGGACAGGACUGAACGAUCGCUGGCAGAGACAGCAUGCAGCAAUGGACUCGAAAAGAAUCAAUGCAGCUGAAAAAGGAUGUAGCAUAGUAUGAAGUUAAAUCUGCAGUGGCUACUGAUGAGAAAAGGAGGUGAUCAGCUAUUUUCUUGUCAACCAUCAGUUUCACCAAAGAAGUUACGAUCAACAUCUCAGAUGAAACAUGUCACCCGUAGCAGGCCACCUAUUCUUGCUGCUGUCUGUGAAAAUAUGUGAUAACGUGGAAUGCUAUGGAAAGCAGAGACAGGAAACAUCAGUGCAAAAAAGCCAACACUGUAUGGCGCAUCGUACCAUGUAUUCUGCGCAGAUGUGAUUCAGCGGCGACUCAUCGCUGGACAAGAGAGAAAGACUCAAAGAAUAGCACCAGUUGGACCUCCAUGUGGGAAUCAAUUUCUGCGCUUAACUUUUCAUGGACUCCUGAUUUUGCUUCUGGACUUACCCUAUUUUUCUAACACCAAAGGACUGAGAAAUGUUUUGAUAAUAAAAACUUUCGAC